Daucus carota subsp. sativus is the source of this 656-nucleotide long non-coding RNA. RefSeq lists it as uncharacterized. The record is from RefSeq and is a predicted model, not a curated record. NCBI's taxonomy places the organism in Eukaryota, Viridiplantae, Streptophyta, Magnoliopsida, Apiales, Apiaceae. The transcript is spliced from 2 exons.
UGAAUAGUGUGCCAUGCCCAUGCAUACUAUACAAAAUAUAAAGACACACCGAUACCUCAGUGCUUACACCUUCACUUAUAAAUGUGAUAAAAAACCUUCGACUCUUAUGUUUUCAUUACAAAGCAAGGCGCGAGUGCACGUGAGAAUGCUACCAAACAAAAGCUAAUGAGCGUUUUCAUAAGAAAUAUAGUUGAUUGUAAAGCAGCAGCAGCAAUGUCAGCAUAUGUGGCUCAAGAAGAAGAUAUAUACACCAAAGACGGAACAACUGAUUAUCGCCAUAAACCUGCUGUCAAAAGCAAAACCGGAACCUGGAAAGCAUGCCCUUACAUCCUAGCUUGAGUUUUUCUAUGAGCAGAUGAUGCCAUGAGGAGUCUCUGCUCAGCGUUGUCGCUCACCACGGCUGCACUAGGAAAUUAUUUGAGCACUUCUCUCGUCAACAUGGUGACAGAUGUGAGCACAAGAAAUGGUGGUAAAGGCUGGAUUCCUGAUAUUCUGAAUUAUGGUCAUUUGGAUUACUUCUUCUGGAUGUUGGCUUUGUCAAGUGUGAUGAAUUUGGGAGUUUAUGUGUUAGUGGCCAAGUGUUACACUUACACGAAGCCUGUUGAUCCAAUAUCUCAAGAUUGAUCGGGUUUAUAUUAAAUUUGGUUUUGAUGUUU